Cuculus canorus (common cuckoo) is the source of this 7875-nucleotide long non-coding RNA. RefSeq lists it as uncharacterized. The record is from RefSeq and is a predicted model, not a curated record. The transcript has 8 exons. NCBI's taxonomy places the organism in Eukaryota, Metazoa, Chordata, Aves, Cuculiformes, Cuculidae.
UUAAGCUGUGAACUGGAAUUCCACCAGGCUCUCUACUGUGAAGCCCUGUGGCUUUAGCAAAGAGGCAGCAGUGGUCAGAAACGACGCUCAAAAGCAAAUAACAAGUAAUUCAUAGCAGACUUCCAGCUCCUGUGAAAGAGAGAAGAUGCUUUUGCCUCACACAACCUUUGCAUCUAAGGAACUAUCUCUUUAUCUAUUGCCUGUUUGCUGCGGGGAGCUGCUGAGAGACCUGCAGGCAUACCUCGCAGAUCUGGUGACGGGAAAGACUGACAUGAAACACUCUCAGCUCUUCUGCACCUGGGCAUUGCAAAAAGAGGCUGCAGGGAGCUUCCGUUUGAUCGUAAUGUAAAUGUGUGACUACAGUAGAAUUAGAAGGAUCCCUGAAGUGUUUUCCUUCACAUGCAUAGAAGUCCCUGAAGUAUACCCAAAGGACCACACCCGAGGAGAUCUAAGCUCAAAACCAUUGUUCUGGUCCUCAACAGACCACCCAAUGUGACUGCACUUGAUUCCUCCACCCACAAGACAUAAUGCAAGACAUCCAAAGACACAACCAUGGUAUGACAAAAUAUAGACGGAAAUGGUAUCUUGGAUCUGGGUCACCAAGUUAUCAGCCAAUCUCUGACUGAAGGUGCCAUGGGCUGAUGUAGCUUGGAACCUUAUGUGCUUGAUUCAAGACAAAGAGUUUAAAAAGGUCUCAGCUGGGUGAGUUGGAUACUGCUUGCAGCACUGCAGUCCUCAAUGUUAUAACUUUUGCAGUACUCACAAACUUUUUCAGUGAGCCCUUGGCUGCCUUUUGUCACCCAGCAGUGUCCUGGACUGCUUGCUCUGCCAGGGAAAACAGUUUUCCUCUGUGAAGGGCUCAACCUCAUUGCAGCAGAGAGCACUAGUCCAAACCCCACUUUUCCUGCUCUGUCCUCAAAAGGAAUCUGCAGAAGCUUUGACUUGCAGUGUGUGAUGGCUGUGGCAUUUCCUCCGCUAUGGCUCAGCCCGGGCAGGGAGGGAGGGAGAGCGAUAAUCCUCUGUGUGCUGGCAUUUAGCACCUGGCUGACAGUGUACACUGUGCACCGGGUGAUCAGUGCCGGGAACAGGACUACACUGCUCCGAAACUUUGCCCUAAGUGAAAUGAAACAUCACUAUAAAUUAGGAGAGAGUCUUAGAGUGUCGGUUGAUGUGUAUUUGAAUAAGGGUUGGCCAAUCCUCGGUGCUGCAACUGGUACUCCUGGUAUUGUAAUUUGUCCUGGGUCCUGGUCCAAGGCCCUGGUGAACCAGAAUUAGUGCUCCAACAUCCAGCACCUCAUUGCAUGGCCAUGGCACAACCCCUGGGGGACAAACUGCUCUGUUCUGCCAACUUUUAGGGGGACCUGGACUCCAAUCCCAACUCAGGCACUGAAUGCACCACCCGGUGCCAGCCUUCCCUGGGCAAACAUUAUCUCCUGCAUUGCUGAAGGGCACUGCACAAUGUUUCCCAAAUCUUAUUAAUGAAGGAAGCAGUUUCCCUCAGACCUUCUGCAAUAAAUGGUGUUUUACCAGGCAGCUGAAAACUUACUUUGUCCUCUUGUGUUAAAGCAGUGAUUCGGGGUUUUGAAUAUCUUUAAUUGGUAUGUGGUAAUUUGGAAGAGACUUGAGUAGGACAUUUCCGUUUUUUUGUUAUUCUAGUGCUUGAAAUGAAGAAAAUUUCUGUUUUCUCAAGUGAAGUGCAUGGGGAAGGGUAGCCAAGAGCUCAGGCUGUGGGCGACGGGACAGCAGGGACCAGCAGUAUGUUCAACAAAAGUAUAUACUAAUAUAGAACACAAGGGAGGGAUUUUUCUCCUUUUCUGCACCCACUUUAUUUUUCAUCAACAGAAGCUGCCUUUGAAAGACAAGAGUAGUAUUUUUUGAACAGACUCCAUUUUCCCUACAAAACCUCAAUGUUACAGAUGGUUGGAGACUGUCAGAAUAUGAAGAAAUACCAGGAAACAAAUAUCUAGGACACCCCAAUGAGUCAUUAGUCCAUCACUGACCUCCUGAUCUUUUAACAAGACUUAUUGAUUCAAGGAGAGCCUAGAAAGUUUAGCCUAGAUGGGGCUUUUCAUGCACACACAUGCAUGUGCACACACAUGUUUAAUGGUGCCUGAAGUCCAGAAACCCAACAAUGUCUGGAGGCUGGAACCAAGACCUAAUCACCACCUACCCCAAAGCCAUUCCUGUUGUGCUGUGGUAGUUCAUUCAAUCAGUGUGCUUUUAAUCUGCCAAUACCAACCCAUGUCUUCUCAGGACCUACUGUUCUGACAACCUCCUGUCUUCCCCUCUGCUUGGUCAUCUGCACUGGCUCGAUACGUUAACCUCUCUUUUUGCUUGAUCUGUGCCAGUGGCGCUUGCACAACAAAUCGUCAUGUGGUUUGCAGAAUGAAUUCCCUAAUGAUGCUCUCAUUAAUAGUUCUUGCUGCCAAAUGCUGUUUGCUUUUACUUUCAGAACUGUCUGCAUUAAUAAUGAGUACCUCCACUUGGAAAUUAUUUACAUGAAGUAUUGCGGUCACGUCACCACCACAGACAGCAGCUCCAGACUAGGAGAUAUUUCACACAGGGAACCGUAUGGGAGGGCACGAUGACACGAGGCAAGACCAGUAGCAGUGACCAGCAAAAGCAAAUUCCAGACAGCAGUACUCUCUGCAGGAUGCUUCUACAGAGAGCUGUGAAUUUCUGUACCGUCCUGGCUACCCUGCCCAAAACAAUAGGUGCUUGAGUAGUUCGCAGCAAAAAAGUCUUGGGAACAGCAGAACUAUUUCUUGUGAUAAAGGCUUGCUGCUUGGUUUGGAAAGAUGAGCUUGUCAGCAACGUUGCUGCACUCAGGCUGAACCUGUGGGAAGUGUGCCUGUUCCUAAUAAAUGUUGUGUGUAUUUAUGUGGCAGACAUUGUGCUUUGCAAGGAGAGAGUCACAGAAAUAAUUAGUUAAGAGCGUGAGGUUUUUGGCACAGAUUCCCUUUCUCAAGUAGCUGUGAUGUUCAUAUAUAAGAAAAAUUGAUUUGGCAUCUAGACAGGAUUUCAGCACGCUCAUGGUUAUGGAAAUCAGCUAUGGGCAUAGAGGAAAUCUGUAUAUUGAUUCAUAAACUGACUUGAUGACUUGUUCAUGCUUUAAUAUUUUCAUGGGCUUUUACCCAAAAUAAAAAUGUCAGUAAGUACCACUUGACUGUGCUACAGCACCAUCUAAAAUGGUGGGAAGAAAAGGAAUUUCCUAUUAGGCAGAAGCCUUCCCUGUCUAUGCUAAUUAUUUUAUUCCUUAAAGCAUAGCUUUUCGUCAUUGCCCUUGCUAAUUGCAUUAAUGUGCGCACCUAUAUAGCAUCCAGAGAAAAAUGGUUUCUUAUAAAAGACCCUCAGUUUCAUGGACACUUUUUCUUUCGCAAGAGUUCAGGAAAGCCAGUCCGCCUUCUACUCGUACAACGAGGUGCUGAUACUGCUAGAACUGCCCUGACUGCCUAUAUGUAAUAGUACAAAAAUAGCUUUGCUUUGGGAUCAUGUAGUAGGGCAAAAGCAAGAAUGACUUGCUGACUCUUAUUUUUUUGGGCAGACUGGUUAGGGGGUGUUUACUCAGCAUCAAACUGAUCCAAGGCUGCCUCACAAAAAACGUGUACUAAUACACUGACUCCUUGCGAACAUGUUUUUUCUGCAGGUUUAAAAUCUUAAUCCCCGAAUAAUAUCUCUGCCUGCCUCGUGGUUUUCUUUGGAGAGCUUCCAGCUCUGACCAAUCUUGACCCUAUUUGACUUAAGGUAUGUGGGCUUGGAAUGGAAGCAGUACGGCUGCUGGCCAUUAUUAAAAUGAGCGGAAACUAUGUCAUCCAUAAUAUCAGCUAAGAUCCAGUGUGAUAACAAUAUGUGACCAAAUACUGAUCUCAUUUGCAACAGUACGCUUCCGUUGUGACUUCAGAAGAAAUCAAUGGGUGUAAUGUAAGAUGAGUCACAACGCAUAUAUUGUGCCACAGCAGAAUAGAGUUUUCUCUAUAAAUAAUGUCUCUUUUUGGCAAGACACAGGGAAAAAAGCCUGAAAAUCUACACUAUAUUGAACUGCACAGUUCAGGAAAGAGGCCCUAUACAUAACAGUACAUUUUUGAGUGUGUAGGUUGUUCCUACUGGACUUAAUCUUCCCUUAAGACAGAUGGCUACUCAUUUUCACAGAAUUUCUGCAAGUCUUUUCCAUGAUUGGAGUGUAGGAUUAAAAGAUCUCUGCGACCUCCUUUGAAACUACUGUGCUUGGACACCACCUUACAUAAUGAAAGCACUCACAGAGAAUCCAGGGAGAUAUUUCAUGAUGUCUUAAGGCGGACUGUUAGAAACAUGGAGAAACAUUCGUAUCUUCAGGAAGAGACAAGAAAGCCAUUUUGUCAUUUGGUGGUUGGCUUCAUGCUGCUUAUUAGUCCUCCAAACUUAUGGCUAGUGGGUAAUUUAAACGUAGUUUGAAGGCAGAUUCUUUUUCCUUCAACUGCGGUUUUAAGAAAGAUCCCUCAAAAUUAAUUGACUGACAAACUGUAUAGUUGAUGCUGUCUAUAUGGUGUGCACCAGCCAAAACGGAUGGGUAGCAAGAGCACUGGCAUCUUGGUAGAGGCUGCUCUGAACCCUUCAGAGAACCUCUGCUUGCCCUCUCUUUAUGCUCUUGGGUAGGAGAGGGCAUGUUUAGUUUUCUGCUUACUCAAUUCCCUUUUGUACUUGUUCAUUUGCUAGGUGGGUAAAGGAGAGGAGGUCACUUGUGCACAUGGGAUAAAGAGGUAUUAUGAAUUCUAAAGUGUUUGCUUUAUUGGGAAAAGCAGAGCGAGCAGAAUAGCGCAGUAACAUAAUGUGUGAAUUUUUAAUGAAUUCUGUGCCAAGUGUUUGUGUAUUUUUUUUUCCUACCUGUAGCAGUUUUAUUCAUUUGGGAGAGUACUGUGUACAAGAUAUUCUUUAGUAGUAUGCUGGCUGCUGUUUAGUUUUAAUAAAUUAAAUCCUUUAUAUCAAUGUAAUAUUCUUUAGACAAGCACUUCCAAGGCAGAUUAGAAAUGAACUUAAGGGGAUUAAAAGCUUCUCUUGCUAAAAACAAUGUUUCAGAUGAGAAAUCCACUUAUUUAUGUCACUUUCAGUGGACUAUAUUUGUCUUUAAUAUGUUGCUACUGCUAAAGAAAGCAGUGCUUUGCCCAUGACUGCAGCCUUUCUGCUCUGCUCUACAUCCACAGUGAUGUUUAUUUUCUUCAGUACAGUAAGUCGCUUUGGGAAAGAUUGAUGCUUUCCCAUAAAACUGUGAGCAACCAUUUUCUUUCUUGUUUAGAGAAAACAACAGAUUUAAUGACUCUUGUAUAUUAAGUAGCGUCAGUCUUAUUGUAAAAUAGGAAACCGAAAGGAAGGUAUGAGCAGAGAGAAAAAUCCGCUUUGAUUUUUUUUCCUUGCUGCAUUGUAGCAGGCUGAAAACAUCAAUUGGAAGGUUAUCUGUGAAAUCCUGGACAUCUUGGGAGCAGCCUGGUUUAGCUGGUGUGAGCUCAGGUCUGUGCAGCAGACUGAGGGGGAGGCACUGUCUCACAAGCUGUUUCCUCUAACUAGUACCAGACUACCUGUUUCUCUAUUAAAUGCUUGUCCUAGUACAUGGUUCGAUGGUAUGUCAAUCCCAGUGGUGGUGCCUCUGAUACCAACCCAAAAUCUCUUGAACACACCAUGUAGAGAUCUGAUUUGGUGUAUGACCGCUCUGCAGGUAUAAAAAUUGCUGUCGGGCAGCCUAUAUGAGAGAUCAGAUGCUGUCUGUCCAUGCUGCACUAGCUGUCUACUGCUCCUCAGCAGAGUUCCAUCCAGCAUAAACUGAGUGCUUUGGUCAACCCAGCAACUUUGUAGCCAUACCCCUCUCCAGAGCCCCAUCACGUUUGUCCUGCUGGAUGUGUGGUCCUACAAAGAUGGCUAUGAACAUAAUGGGAUGCCUGUUAAUUCUGGGCUCUUGUAGGAGCUGCCCAUUAAACACUGAGUCACACAAUACUGACCUGGAAAUGGCUGGCUGCCCCCUGAUGCCCUCACACCAUGAAGUUUCAACAGGGCAGGACCCAUCCCUGUGGGGUAAGUGAAGAGGAUCUCAUAGAGGAGGAACAAUGAGGAGGUUGAAUAUUCUGAGUAUUCAGACAAUUUUAAGACCAUAUCAGAUCUCUCUAAGAGACAAUCCAGCACACCGAUAUUACUCGUGUUUGCCAAUCUGAACUUCCCGUUCAUCUCCCAGACUACAAAACUUGCACAGUUCUAGAGUUUACUUCCCACAGCUGCUGGAUGUGACGAGGUCAGAGAAGGCACUAGGACAUAGGCUGAUCUCCCAGUAGGAUGAAAGAAGGAAGGCCUUCCUUUGAGGCACCUCACAAAGCAUCCAGGAAACGAAGGAGACUGAGGAGCCUUUGAGGACAAGUUUGGGCUACAGUGAGGACAGAAUAAAUGAUCAGAGUAAAAUGAAAACCAGAAAAAAUAUGAAAAAUUAAUGUUUUAUUUGGAAUGAGGCCUUUCAGUCUAUUUAUUAUUGCUGUUUGCACAUGAAGCCACAGUGCUUGCUCCUUACAUUACAGCACCAAGAGCUCAGAUAUUGUUUGAGGAUCUAUUAUCAUUCAAUUGCAUUGCAGAUAACUUGGGCAGAGGAAGAGGUUUAAAUCCAUAGCAGAUAAGGUUUGUCUUGGUAACUGUGCCCUUGGAACAGUGCUGGAUUUUGUUAUUUUAAGCACAACUUUCCCCUCCCUCCAUCACUAUUUAAAACAGUUUCAGAAUAAUUUCUAUUGCAUCAUGUUUCAUUAUACAGUAAAGCAUUAUUUAUUUAAAUGCCUUCCAAAGUAAUUAAUUUCCUUGUACCUGGUUAAAACAAGAUCAUUUCCCUUAAUGCUUUCGAGCCAUCGAUACUCCAGGAUCCACUGUCCAGUUUUGAUCAGUCUCAAACACUGUUGGUGCCCCUUCCCACCCCAGAAGCUGAUGCUGAGAUUGAAUUGUAGUGCAUCUGAUAAAGUAAGGGAUACGUUGUCAAAGCAAAGCUCAAGGAUUGAGUUGCAUGACUCCCUGAUAUUUAAAAGGGCCCUACACUGAGGCUUUGUAUUAACCUUGUAUUCCUAGGAUUGUUUGAGUGAGUCUAAGAUGGCAAGCAGAAAUUAAACCACCAUCUUUAAUUUUAAUUAUUUUCUUCUGUUUUGUUUUCUGAAGCCAGAUUUCACUCCUUUCCUCUAACCACAUUUUUCACUAGUCAUAGCUUUUCUCAGACGCCCAAAUCCUUGUAUAUUGCUUAUGAUAACAAGAGCUGACUGAAAUUUCACCACUUAUUUUGGAGUGGAAAACGUGGAUUCAUUUUCUCCAUAAUAAUGAUGGGCUCUUCUGUCAGUGUAGCCACUGGUCACAACACCUGGGGAUAAAAUUGAUCUGCAUUGCUACAUGGAUUAUCCGAAAAAGAAAAAAACCCCUAUCAUUCAAGAAAAAAAAAGAUAUAAUUAGGAUCAUGAAUUUCACUGGGAAAUGUGGUGUAAAAUACUUCUCAUUUUAAAUUAAGCUUUCAAUGGCAAGUGCUUGGCUUUCAACAACUCCUCUGAAACUCUUUUAAUUGAAGUUCCAUGAAAAUCUGAGGAGUUCAGUUCAAGUUCAGCUCCCCAAACCAUCCUGAUUUCAUUAAAUAUCUGAUCUUUCUUUAUUUGCCAAUAAAAUGUGUGUGUGUGUGUGUAAAUCAAUAUCCGCUAUAUAACUGGUUUUUUUUUUUUUUAAAGGAACAGUUUUCUUUUCUUUAUGAAGGAUGAACUCUGCUCUGUGCAUACAAUGACAGAUAAAGGGAACAAUCCGUGGGAGACGCUUCCCACUCCCAGGUUGGGAUUUGGAGCACAGGGCACACUUAUUGCUGCCCUCAUCUGACUCGUGUUCUGCAUCGGUAGUGGCAAUCUCAUG